AUGACGCCCUAUGAUUAUGUGGGCUUCCUAGUUGUUCUCUCUCUCUCUACUGUCCUCCUGUUGUUCUCUCUCUCUCUACUGUCCUCCUGUUGUUCUCUCUCUACUGUCCUCCUGUUGUUCUCCCUCUCGCUACUGUCCUCCUGUUGUUCUCCCUCUCUACUGUCCUCCUGUUGUUCUCUCUCUCCCUCUACUGUCCUCCUGUUGUUCUCUCUCUCUACUGUCCUCCUGUUGCUCUCUCUCUACUGUCCUCCUGUUGUUCUCCCUCUCGCUACUGUCCUCCUGUUGCUCUCUCUCUCUCUACUGUCCUUCUGUUGUUCUCUCUCUACUGUCCUGUUGUUCUCUCUCUCUCUACUGUCCUCCUGUUCUCUCUCUACUGUCCUGUUGUUCUCUCUCUCUCUACUGUCCUGUUCUCUCUCGCUCUACUGUCCUGUUCUCUCUCUCUACUGUCCUCCUGUUGUUCUCUCUCUCUCUACUGUCCUCCUGUUGUUCUCCCUCUCUACUGUCCUCCUGUUGUUCUCCCUCUCUACUGUCCUCCUGUUGUUCUCCCUCUCUACUGUCCUCCUGUUGUUCUCCCUCUCUACUGUCCUCCUGUUGUUCUCUCUCUCUACUGUCCUCCUGUUGUUCUCCCUCUCUACUGUCCUCCUGUUGUUCUCUCUCUCUACUGUCCUCCUGUUGUUCUCUCUCUCUACUGUCCUCCUGUUGUUCUCUCUCUCUACUGUCCUCCUGUUGUUCUCUCUCUACUGUCCUCCUGUUGUUCUCUCUCUACUGUCCCGCUGUUGUUCCCUCUCUCUACUGUCCUCCUGUUGUUCUCUCUCUCUCUACUGUCCUCCUGUUGUUCUCCCUCUCUACUAUCCUCCUGUUGUUCUCUCUCUCUCUACUGUCCUCCUGUUCUUCUCCCUCUCUACUAUCCUCCUGUUGUUCUCCCUCUCUCUACUGUCCUCCUGUUGUUCUCUCUCUCUACUGUCCUCCUGUUGUUCUCUCUCUCUACUGUCCUCCUGUUGUUCUCCCUCUCUACUAUCCUCCUGUUGUUCUCUCUCUCUCUACUGUCCUCCUGUUCUUCUCCCUCUCUACUAUCCUCCUGUUGUUCUCCCUCUCUCUACUGUCCUCCUGUUGUUCUCUCUCUCUACUGUCCUCCUGUUGUUCUCUCUCUCUACUGUCCUCCUGUUGUUCUCCCUCUCUACUAUCCUCCUGUUGUUCUCCCUCUCUCUACUGUCCUCCUGUUGUUCUCUCUCUCUACUGUCCUCCUGUUGUUCCCUCUCUCUACUAUCCUCCUGUUGUUCUCCCUCUCUACUGUCCUCCUGUUGUUCUCCCUCUCUACUGUCCUCCUGUUGUUCUCCCUCUCUACUCUCCUCCUGUUGUUCUCUCUCUCUACUGUCCUCCUGUUGUUCUCUCUCUCUCUAA
Molecule: long non-coding RNA, 1401 nt
Filed under: Oncorhynchus mykiss (rainbow trout)
Lineage: Eukaryota; Metazoa; Chordata; Actinopteri; Salmoniformes; Salmonidae
Description: lncRNA (ENSOMYG00000065890.1)
Source: RNAcentral